Molecule: ribosomal RNA, 532 nt
Filed under: Escherichia coli
Lineage: Bacteria; Pseudomonadati; Pseudomonadota; Gammaproteobacteria; Enterobacterales; Enterobacteriaceae
Description: bacterial SSU rRNA
Rfam family: Bacterial small subunit ribosomal RNA
Source: RNAcentral
CCCAGAUGGGAUUAGCUAGUAGGUGGGGUAAAGGCUCACCUAGGCGACGAUCCCUAGCUGGUCUGAGAGGAUGACCAGCCACACUGGAACUGAGACACGGUCCAGACUCCUACGGGAGGCAGCAGUGGGGAAUAUUGCACAAUGGGCGCAAGCCUGAUGCAGCCAUGCCGCGUGUAUGAAGAAGGCCUUCGGGUUGUAAAGUACUUUCAGCGGGGAGGAAGGGAGUAAAGUUAAUACCUUUGCUCAUUGACGUUACCCGCAGAAGAAGCACCGGCUAACUCCGUGCCAGCAGCCGCGGUAAUACGGAGGGUGCAAGCGUUAAUCGGAAUUACUGGGCGUAAAGCGCACGCAGGCGGUUUGUUAAGUCAGAUGUGAAAUCCCCGGGCUCAACCUGGGAACUGCAUCUGAUACUGGCAAGCUUGAGUCUCGUAGAGGGGGGUAGAAUUCCAGGUGUAGCGGUGAAAUGCGUAGAGAUCUGGAGGAAUACCGGUGGCGAAGGCGGCCCCCUGGACGAAGACUGACGCUCAGGUGC